GCCGGGGUACCCUAGUCUGGUAGGGGGCAGUUUGGAAGCCUGUGCCCGCAAGGGCUCGUGGGUUCAAAUCCCACCCCCGGCG
This 82-nucleotide transfer RNA is filed under the name Nitrososphaerales archaeon. RNAcentral's name for it is "tRNA-Ser". It matches the Rfam family "tRNA". Rfam says of the family: Transfer RNA (tRNA) molecules are approximately 80 nucleotides in length. Their secondary structure includes four short double-helical elements and three loops (D, anti-codon, and T loops). Further hydrogen bonds mediate the characteristic L-shaped molecular structure. tRNAs have two regions of fundamental functional importance: the anti-codon, which is responsible for specific mRNA codon recognition, and the 3' end, to which the tRNAs corresponding amino acid is attached (by aminoacyl-tRNA synthetases). tRNAs cope with the degeneracy of the genetic code in two manners: having more than one tRNA (with a specific anti-codon) for a particular amino acid; and 'wobble' base-pairing, i.e. permitting non-standard base-pairing at the 3rd anti-codon position. Lineage: Archaea; Thermoproteati; Nitrososphaerota; Nitrososphaeria; Nitrososphaerales. The record is from RNAcentral.